UAGUAGUCCUUUCCUCUUGAGCUGAUUCAUCUGCAUUGAAAGAUGAAUUGGACUUGUGAAAGAUAAGCAUCUAAAUAGGCGCAUGGUUCUAGACAUUUUUUAUUCGCAUCCCCAUACUUUCACUGUAUAUCUCCAUCGGGGGUGGUUGAAAGAUUAAAAUGCCCCGUGCAAUCGUUAUCCUUGCUGUCGUUACCUCCUUGUCGUCGUCGUCGCUGUUCCCUUGCCAUCGCCGCUCCAUGUCUCGUUGCCGCCCUUGUCUAUUUGUUGUGUUAAGGAAUACUGACUAUCACGAAUUGCUGCUUCUAACAUGGCUACAAUGCAAACUACCACUGAAAAGGAAUUAUUCAAGAAGCUUCCAUGUGAUAUGAUUGAAUCAACAAUCUGCACGAAAGGACAAAUAACAACGAUGUGGUUGAGAUUCAAAAGCGGAAAAGAGGAGGUUUUCUGAAGUGCAAUGGGGAUACAACAGUAAGGCUUUGGUACGACUGGUUUGAAUUACCAACAAAAUUCCUCACGAGAAAUUUUGAAGAACUGACCUUGCUAUUGUCAAUCUUUGUUGGUGCAUAUCCCACUAAUAAGUAAUGAACUCAACACAUUCAAGUCAUUGAAGCUCAACAAGGUGAUUUGACACUCACAUGCUCAGUGAGGGCAAGAUUUGCCUCAAAGAAUGAUCUGAUGGUCCCUAUGUCUUCCCAAUAAUCAUUGAAGAGAUAAGCCUGCACACAGAGAUUGUCACACCAUAGAUGGUGGUGAUCGUGCAUAUGAAAGCAUAUGGGGCAUUUUGUUGGUGGUAUUUCAGAGGUGACGUUGAUGCCCAAUGCUCAAGGAACUCACUUUCUAUCUAACUUUGCAGAAAAUCCUGAACUCCACAAGAUAAUUUGGGACUGAAUCACUAUUUUCUCUCUCUUUUAUUAUUGAUUACAUUUAAAGGCAUUUUAAAGCCUUUCACUAUGAAAUAAAUGUCAAUGCUGUUUGCUCCAGGAGCUUGUUUCAGUCCUUAAAAAACUUUAUUUAGUUUAUAAAUCUUCUCUUCUUGGCCUUCAAUCCAAA
This is a long non-coding RNA of Vigna radiata var. radiata (mung bean), 1050 nucleotides long. RefSeq lists it as uncharacterized. The record is from RefSeq and is a predicted model, not a curated record. NCBI's taxonomy places the organism in Eukaryota, Viridiplantae, Streptophyta, Magnoliopsida, Fabales, Fabaceae. The transcript is spliced from 5 exons.